Molecule: ribosomal RNA, 424 nt
Filed under: uncultured prokaryote
Description: bacterial SSU rRNA
Rfam family: Bacterial small subunit ribosomal RNA
Source: RNAcentral
UGGGGAAUAUUGGACAAUGGGCGCAAGCCUGAUCCAGCCAUGCCGCGUGAGUGAUGAAGGCCCUAGGGUUGUAAAGCUCUUUCGCAGGUGAAGAUAAUGACGGUAACCUGUAAAGAAGCCCCGGCUAACUUCGUGCCAGCAGCCGCGGUAAUACGAAGGGGGCUAGCGUUGUUCGGAAUAACUGGGCGUAAAGCGCACGUAGGCGGAUUGAAAAGUUAGGGGUGAAAUCCCAGGGCUUAACCCUGGAACUGCCUUUAAAACUAUCAAUCUAGAGAUCGAGAGAGGUGAGUGGAAUUCCGAGUGUAGAGGUGAAAUUCGUAGAUAUUCGGAGGAACACCAGUGGCGAAGGCGGCUCACUGGCUCGAUACUGACGCUGAGGUGCGAAAGCGUGGGGAGCAAACAGGAUUAGAUACCCCCGUAGUCC